Dreissena polymorpha is the source of this 1278-nucleotide long non-coding RNA. RefSeq lists it as uncharacterized. The transcript is spliced from 5 exons. Lineage: Eukaryota; Metazoa; Mollusca; Bivalvia; Myida; Dreissenidae. The record is from RefSeq and is a predicted model, not a curated record.
UGUCGUUUUUACUAGCGCCGAAUAAUGCACUAUGUAAACAAGGGGCAUAACCACUCAGCAAAUUGUACUUACGGAUUUCGGAUGUGAUUGUGGAAUGUGUUUUAGUUUCAAACAUUUGUUAUGAUUUAUGAAAAUUUGGGGUCGCAAAAACUGGUGAACAGUGCCAGAAGAAGAACCAAAAUUCCAAGGCUCGGUCUUCUUCAUAUGCGUUACAAAGCAGUGAGCGUGCCACAACAGCCAGCAGUGAAGAACAUAUGAGUGUACCAGUCAUGAAAGUAGAGGCAUUAAGUGUAAAGAAUCGCUCACAAAGAAGAACGACAAGAGAUCACAAGCCGAUACCUUAACAAAACUUACAGGGAAACCGAUGGGAAAUAACUAAGAAAAAUUAGAAUAAGAAAUAAAAAAGUUGACUGUAGAAAUUGAAAUAAUACAUUUGGAGAAAAAGAUGUGUUUAGUGUCAAUACGUGACCAAGUGCUAUAACUCUGACAUGUAAUAUACUAGUAGUAGAUUUAUUCGCCUUUUUGUAAUUAAAAGGAUCUUAUUAUUUUUUGUGCAACUACUUCAUAACUCUAUUAUUUCUAAAAUAGAUAGUCUAUAUUAGAAAUAAUAGUUAUGGGGAAGUUGCACACAAAAUAAUAAGAUUUUUUUUUAAUUCAAAAAGGGGCAUACUAUUAUUUCUAUGAUAAAAAUAUGAUUCUAUCCCUUUUUGUACUUAUAAAAUUCCAGUCAAUAUUUGUGUGCUUUAAGAAAUGUAGGUUAAAUAUUACAUUGGUCAUUGUAUUAUGUUACUGACAUAUAAAAUACAUUCUACAUUCAAAGAGGAAUAUUACCGGGUAGUUGAAUGCGGUGUCUUGGGACACUUCUUGAUAUUAUUUGCUUACAAGAUAUCCAUCAUUGGUAAUAAUAAAAUUCUUCAUUCAAUGAACUGAAUGAAAUUCCAGAAUAAUGGUAGAUACAGUUAUGUGAAUUUGAAAUUAGACAUCAACAAAUCCUGGCAUCAUGCUUUCGCCCUGGCCAACUGGCAGUGAACUUGAGUGAACUUGAGUGAAGCUCGUUAUUCUGUAGCUGGCAUCAUACACAGCCUGUUAACAUAAAACAUGUUAUAUUACACUAACAAAAUAAGACAUAUUUUUGUACAUUUUUUCUUAGGUAUUUGAUAAAAUGCUGAUAAAAUGUUUCUUAUUUUGCUAAUGGCAAACUGUUAAAAUUAACAUACAGUUGUUUCAUUAAAUUUGUGUUUAAAGUAAAGUUGUAUCAAAUAAAAAGGAUUGCAUUUA